AUUGAACGCUGGCGGCAUGCUUUACACAUGCAAGUCGAACGGUAACAGGCCGCAAGGUGCUGACGAGUGGCGGACGGGUGAGUAAUGCAUCGGAACGUGCCCAGCCGUGGGGGAUAACUACUCGAAAGAGUAGCUAAUACCGCAUACGAUCUAUGGAUGAAAGCGGGGGACCGUAAGGCCUCGCGCGAUUGGAGCGGCCGAUGUCGGAUUAGGUAGUUGGUGGGGUAAAGGUUCACCCAGACAACGAGCUGUAGCUGGUCUGAGAGGACGACCAGCCACACUGGGACUGAGACACGGCCCAGACUCCUACGGGAGGCAGCAGUGGGGAAUUUUAGACAAUGGGCGCAAGCCUGAUCCAGCAAUGCCGCGUGCAGGAAGAAGGCCUUCGGGUUGUAAACUGCUUUUGUACGGAACGAAACGGCUCUGGUUAAUACCCGGGGCUAAUGACGGUACCGGAAGAAUAAGCACCGGCUAACUACGUG
This 482-nucleotide ribosomal RNA is filed under the name uncultured bacterium. RNAcentral describes it as "partial 16S ribosomal RNA". It matches the Rfam family "Bacterial small subunit ribosomal RNA", at positions 30 to 507 of the family's 1533-position model. The record is from RNAcentral.